RNAcentral lists this long non-coding RNA (583 nucleotides) under Fukomys damarensis (Damara mole-rat). Its description in RNAcentral is "lncRNA (ENSFDAG00000022650.1)". Lineage: Eukaryota; Metazoa; Chordata; Mammalia; Rodentia; Bathyergidae. The record is from RNAcentral.
CUGUGUUUUCAUUUGCUGUCUUAUACUCCUGCCACCCUAGGUAUCUGUCUGUCCCCGAAUGAUGAGAGACCUGUGGAACAGACCUGAACCCAACACACUCCCUAGAGUGAAGUCUAUUCUGUCCACAGCCUCAAGAAAAGCUUUCAGCAGAAUCCAGCCUAGGUUACGCAAACAACAGUCAGCCUGUGGACUGAUGGGAAAGAUACUAACUGUCGCUGUAAAUCAGGCUACAAUGAACAACAAGAGCAGCCUCAAAGAAGAAAGAAGUCAAGAAAAUGUACCUGAGGAAUGUGGAAGAGACCUGUCUUGUAACCAUGUCAGUGACUGGGAGAGACAGUAGAAAGGAAAUUGAGGAGUUCCUAUGCCUGUUUUUGGGGUGUGUGUGUGUGUGUGUGUGUGUGUGCGUGUGUAUGAGUACCCAGAGGACAGAGUGAAUAGUAACUGCAGACUGGGAGGUGUAACAGUAAGUCAUAGUAGCAGAAGUGCAGCUCUUCUGAGAUGUAUUUAUGUAUUGCUCCUACUUGUACUUACAGACUAUGAAGUCCAGGGAAUGUUAUUUCACCCCAAAUUCCAAAUUUCCAAA